ACAAUAAAAGAAACAUAACACUCUAAUUGACGUUGCACUCUCAAAAUAUUGUCCCGUCCCUGUCAAAGUUGUAAAACCCUAAAUCCCCAAAUCUCAGAACCUACCCAAGCUACAAUCAUAAUCACAUCUCUCAUUCUCUGUCAACAUGGAGCUCUAGAUCCGAAAGAUACCCAUUUGCACUUAUCGGUCAAUAGGUGGGUUCGGACCAAAGUGCUCGGAAUAAAAUGGGUCUUCCGCUACUUGAUCACUCACACCUAAGGAUGCGUUUCUCACUCGGCUGAAUCCACACCAUUCAAUAUUGUAAUUACUUCUCAUAAAGCAAAGGUUAAAAUCCUUUUUGACAAUAAGAAAUUUAUUAUGGAUGAACUCAAACAAUAAAAGAACAGUUAUCAGUAGAACUUUUUUGAAGAAUUGUUAUUAGCUCAACAACGUGAGGUCCAGCUUCCAACAUCAUCCAAUUCAGGAGAAGACCAUUAACGUGAAGCACAUACAGGGUCUGAAGAGUUUUAGUUACAAGUCAAGAUGAGAGUUUUGAAGACUCCAUUGCAAGUAGCUAGGAAAAAUAUUGUAUUUUAUUAACAGGUUGUGUAAACAGUACCGUGGUUAUAUUGUUACAAGCUGUAACUAAUUACCCAUUUCUACAUUUGUAAAUCAAUAUUUAUAUAU
This is a long non-coding RNA of Lycium barbarum (goji berry), 666 nucleotides long. RefSeq lists it as uncharacterized. The record is from RefSeq and is a predicted model, not a curated record. The transcript is spliced from 3 exons. Lineage: Eukaryota; Viridiplantae; Streptophyta; Magnoliopsida; Solanales; Solanaceae.